Molecule: ribosomal RNA, 1140 nt
Filed under: Ceramius socius
Lineage: Eukaryota; Metazoa; Arthropoda; Insecta; Hymenoptera; Vespidae
Description: eukaryotic LSU rRNA
Rfam family: Eukaryotic large subunit ribosomal RNA (bases 572-1140)
Source: RNAcentral
AAACCUGAGGAACCCGAAAGAUCGAACGGGGAGAUUCAGCGUCAGCGGCGCUGGCUCGGCGGCGGUCGGCGAUGUCGUCCGACGGCGGCGGCGGCCCUCGCGGUCGUCCCGCCUCGAAGCGACACGUCACCGCUCUGCCGUGUCCGGUGCUCGUCGUCGUGCACUUCUCCCCUAGUAGAACGUCGCGACCCGUUGGGCGCUGGUCUACGGCUCGGGUGGUAGCCUGUCGCGCGGCGCUUCACGGCGCACGCCGCGAACAGACCCCCCGAGAACGCCCGACCGGCCGCUCGGCGGUAUCGACAACUCGAAAGGUAUGCGGCCGCAAGAGGUCCUCCUCCGUCGCGAGACGGGCGGAGAAACUCUGUGCGUCGGACCCCGCCGCAAGCGCGGCCAGCGUCUCCCUGGUGGUUACACACGGACCCCACGGUGCCGUCCCCGGGCCUGGUCAGCUGUUGGCAGGCGGUGAGCUCCGACAGGCCCAUCGCGCCGCGCCACGCGCGCGCGCGCGCACGCGAUACCGGUCGGCGACGCUACUGCUUUGGGUACCCUCAGGACCCGUCUUGAAACACGGACCAAGGAGUCUAACAUGUGCGCGAGUCAUUGGGACUCCGAAUCCUAAAGGCGCAAUGAAAGUGAAGGUCGGCGGCGACACACGGAGCCGCCGUUCGAGGGAGGAUGGGCCGCGUCGCGACGCGGCUCCGCACUCCCGGGGCGUCUCGUUCUCAUCGCGAGAGGAGGCGCACCCAGAGCGUACACGUUGGGACCCGAAAGAUGGUGAACUAUGCCUGGUCAGGACGAAGUCAGGGGAAACCCUGAUGGAGGUCCGCAGCGAUUCUGACGUGCAAAUCGAUCGUCGGAACUGGGUAUAGGGGCGAAAGACUAAUCGAACCAUCUAGUAGCUGGUUCCCUCCGAAGUUUCCCUCAGGAUAGCUGGCACUCGAGGGAGGGAGUCUCAUCUGGUAAAGCGAAUGAUUAGAGGCCUUGGGGCCGAAACGACCUCAACCUAUUCUCAAACUUUAAAUGGGUGAGAUCUCUGGCUUGCUUGAACGGUGAAGCCACGAGACAGGCGAGACAAAUAUUUUAUAUCAAAUAUAUAUAACACACACGCACACGGAUCAGAGUGCCAAGUGGGCCAAUUUU